RNAcentral lists this ribosomal RNA (120 nucleotides) under uncultured bacterium. RNAcentral describes it as "partial 16S ribosomal RNA". It matches the Rfam family "Bacterial small subunit ribosomal RNA", at positions 796 to 915 of the family's 1533-position model. The record is from RNAcentral.
CACGCCGUAAACGAUGAAUACUAGGUGUGGGGGGACUGACCCCCUCCGUGCCGGAGUUAACACAAUAAGUAUUCCACCUGGGGAGUACGGCCGCAAGGUUGAAACUCAAAGGAAUUGACG